GACGAACGCUGGCGGCGUGCUUAACACAUGCAAGUCGAACGAAGUGGCGAACGGGUGAGUAACGCGUAAUCAACCUGCCCUUCAGAGGGGGACAACAGUUGGAAACGACUGCUAAUACCGCAUACUGAAGGAGGGGAUUGCGUCUGAUUAGCUGUUUGGAGGGUUAACGGCCCACCAAGGCGAUGAUCAGUAGCCGGUGUGAGAGGAUGACCCGUCACAUUGGUAGUGGGACACGGCCCAGACACCUACGGGAGGAAGUCGUGGGGAGGCUGACGCAAUGUACGAAAGUCUGACGGGGCAACGCAGCGUGAGAGAUGACGGCCUUCGGGUUGUAAAGCUCUGUUAAUCGGGACGCGGUACCGGAAUAGAAAGCCACGGCUAACUACGUGCCAGCAGCCGCGGUAAUAC
Molecule: ribosomal RNA, 408 nt
Filed under: uncultured bacterium
Lineage: Bacteria
Description: partial 16S ribosomal RNA
Rfam family: Bacterial small subunit ribosomal RNA
Source: RNAcentral